GUGUUGUAUGAAAGGAGAGAAGGUUAGCACUCCCCUUGUGAGGAUGGAAAAGGUCCUAGUGGUCUUUGGUUAAGGCACUACCUACUACUACCUAUGCGUAUACCUGUAGGCAUAGACCUACAGUCUAU
This is a small nuclear RNA of Ornithorhynchus anatinus (platypus), 128 nucleotides long. The record is from RefSeq and is a predicted model, not a curated record. NCBI's taxonomy places the organism in Eukaryota, Metazoa, Chordata, Mammalia, Monotremata, Ornithorhynchidae.